UACAGAGGGGGCAAGCGUUAUUCGGAAUUAUUGGGCGUAAAGGGCGCGUAGGCGGCUUGGCAAGUGGAUGGUGAAAUCCCUCGGCUUAACCGAGGAACUGCCAUCCAGACUGCCUUGCUUGAGGCCGGGAGAGGUAAGUGGAAUUCCCAGUGUAGCGGUGAAAUGCGUAGAUAUUGGGAGGAACACCAGUGGCGAAGGCGGCUUACUGGACCGGUUCUGACGCUGAGGCGCGAAAGCGUGGGGAGCAAACGGG
This 253-nucleotide ribosomal RNA is filed under the name uncultured bacterium. RNAcentral describes it as "partial 16S ribosomal RNA". It matches the Rfam family "Bacterial small subunit ribosomal RNA", at positions 524 to 776 of the family's 1533-position model. The record is from RNAcentral.